GACAGAGGGGGCAAGCGUUGUUCGGAAUUACUGGGCGUAAAGCGCGCGUAGGCGGACCUGCAAGUCGGGGGUGAAAGCCCGAGGCUCAACCUCGGAACUGCCUUCGAUACUGCGGGUCUCGAGUCCGGGAGAGGUGAGUGGAAUUCCUAGUGUAGAGGUGAAAUUCGUAGAUAUUAGGAAGAACACCAGUGGCGAAGGCGGCUCACUGGCCCGGUACUGACGCUGAGGCGCGAAAGCGUGGGGAGCAAACAGG
RNAcentral lists this ribosomal RNA (253 nucleotides) under uncultured bacterium. RNAcentral's name for it is "partial 16S ribosomal RNA". It matches the Rfam family "Bacterial small subunit ribosomal RNA", at positions 524 to 776 of the family's 1533-position model. The record is from RNAcentral.